RNAcentral lists this ribosomal RNA (440 nucleotides) under uncultured bacterium. Its description in RNAcentral is "bacterial SSU rRNA". It matches the Rfam family "Bacterial small subunit ribosomal RNA", at positions 338 to 770 of the family's 1533-position model. The record is from RNAcentral.
CCUACGGGAGGCUGCAGUCGAGGAUCUUCCGCAAUGCGCGCAAGCGUGACGGAGCGACGCCGCGUGGGGGAUGAAGGCCUUCGGGUUGUAAACCCCUGUCACCUGGAAAGAACGGCGAGUGGUUAAUAGCCAGCUCGCGUGACGUUACCAGGAGAGGAAGCACCGGCUAAAUACGUGCCAGCAGCCGCGGUAAUACGUAUGGUGCUAACGUUGUUCGGAAUCACUGGGCUUAAAGAGCACGUAGGCGGUUGAGAAAGUCUGAUGUGAAAGCCCCCGGCCCAACCGGGGAAUUGCAUCAGAAACUACUUGUCUAGAGUGCAGGAGGGGAGAGUGGAAUUCCUGGUGGAGCGGUGAAAUGCGUAGAUAUCAGGAGGAACGCCGGUGGCGAAAGCGACUCUCUGGCCUGUUACUGACGCUGAGGUGCGAAAGCUAGGGGAGCA